UCCGAUCCAGGGGUUCGGGGGGUUUAUAUAUAGAAUAACAGGUCCCCAGGAGUGGGUCACAGGCUGGGAUCUGAUCCAGGGGUUCGGGGGGUUUAUAUAUAGAAUAACAGGUCCCCGGGAGUGGGUCACAGGCUGGGAUCUGAUCCAGGGGUUCGGGGGGUUUAUAUAUAGAAUAACAGCUCCCCGGGAGUGGGUUACAGGCUGGGAUCUGAUCCAGGGGUUCGGGGGGUUUAUAUAUAGAAUAACAGGUCCCCGGGAGUGGGUUACAGGCUGGGAUCUGAUCCAGGGGUUCGGGGGGUUUAUAUAUAGAAUAACAGGUCCCCGGGAGUGGGUUACAGGCUGGGAUCUGAUCCAGGGGUUCGGGGGGUUUAUAUAUAGAAUAACAGGUCCCCGGGAGUGGGUUAGAGGCUGGGGUCUGAUCCAGGGGUUCGGGGGGUUUAUAUAUAGAAUAACAGGUCCCAUGGAGUGGGUUACAGGCUGGGAUCUGAUCCAGGGGUUCGGGGGGUUUAUAUAUAGAAUAACAG
Pristis pectinata (smalltooth sawfish) is the source of this 524-nucleotide long non-coding RNA. RefSeq lists it as uncharacterized. NCBI's taxonomy places the organism in Eukaryota, Metazoa, Chordata, Chondrichthyes, Rhinopristiformes, Pristidae. The record is from RefSeq and is a predicted model, not a curated record. The transcript is spliced from 3 exons.